AGGAGGAGGAGGGUCGGUAUUAGGUUAUAAGGCAGGUUGAUAAACAACUGGUUAGGGAUGGCAUCGAUGCUGGGAGGAGGAGGAGGGUCGGUAUUAGGUUAUAAGGCAGGUUGAUAAACAACUGGUUAGGGAUGGCAUCGAUGCUGGGAGGAGGAGGAGGGUCGGUAUUAGGUUAUAAGGCAGGUUGAUAAACAACUGGUUAGGGAUGGCAUCGAUGCUGGGAGGAGGAGGAGGGUCGGUAUUAGGUUAUAAGGCAGGUUGAUAAACAACUGGUUAGGGAUGGCAUCGAUGCUGGGAGGAGGAGGAGGGUCGGUAUUAG
Molecule: long non-coding RNA, 319 nt
Organism: Oncorhynchus keta (chum salmon)
Lineage: Eukaryota; Metazoa; Chordata; Actinopteri; Salmoniformes; Salmonidae
Exons: 3
Source: RefSeq, a predicted model, not a curated record